This 441-nucleotide ribosomal RNA is filed under the name uncultured bacterium. RNAcentral describes it as "partial 16S ribosomal RNA". It matches the Rfam family "Bacterial small subunit ribosomal RNA", at positions 338 to 795 of the family's 1533-position model. The record is from RNAcentral.
CCUACGGGAGGCUGCAGUCGGGAAUAUUGCGCAAUGGAGGAAACUCUGACGCAGUGACGCCGCGUGCAGGAAGAAGGUUUUCGGAUUGUAAACUGCUUUAGACAGGGAAGAAAAAAGACAGUACCUGUAGAAUAAGCUACGGCUAACUACGUGCCAGCAGCCGCGGUAAUACGGGGGGUGCAAGCGUUGUCCGGAAUCAUUGGGCGUAAAGAGUUCGUAGGUGGCACGUUAAGUCUGGUGUUAAAGGCGGAAGCUCAACUUCCGUAGGGCACUGGAUACUGGCGAGCUUGAAUGCGGUAGAGGUAAAGGGAAUUCCUGGUGUAGCGGUGAAAUGCGUAGAUAUCAGGAGGAACAUCGGUGGCGUAAGCGCUUUACUGGGCCGUAAUUGACACUGAGGAACGAAAGCCGGGGUAGCAAAUGGGAUUAGAUACCCUUGUAGUC